This is a long non-coding RNA of Amphiprion ocellaris (clown anemonefish), 1987 nucleotides long. The record is from Ensembl. Lineage: Eukaryota; Metazoa; Chordata; Actinopteri; Pomacentridae.
UGGCUUUAGAGGCAGAUAGACGUAAUGGUAGUUUUCUGUAAAACAAGGAAAAUGGGAUCCAAACCGGGGACUUUCCAGCGUAUUGUCUGAAAUGUAUACUUUGUGUAAUAGCGGACCGGACUGUGUGAGGUUAAUCGGCUUUGAAGGGGAAAGCUGUGUCUACAGCUCAGUGCUGAAUUCUGCCGCCGGGAGUGACGUGGCCGCGGACUGUCAUCGAGGGUUCAUUGUUCUGGUGCAGCAGUUGGAUCGCCGAUCUUCUUUGUGGUGCAGGAGUUGGAUCGCCGACCUUCUUUGUGGUGCAGGAGUUGGAUCGCCGACUUUCUUUCUGGUGAAGGAACUGGAUCGCUGACCUUCGACAUCAAUGGUUUUUUUUUUUUGUCGUGACAGGGAGUACAGCUUCUACAGGUGACAUGGGAAUGACCAAACGUUGUGCACAACGGGAGUAAAAGAGAGUGCAGCAAAAAUCAGUUAAUUUUGGCCAAAUAAUUUGUUAUUGAAAAAAAAAUUUGGAUGUGUCUUGGAGAUAAUUAAAUAAUAAUAUUGAUAUCUCAAAAAAAAAUAAGUGAUUUGAGUCAGUGUGUCAUUUCUCUGCAUGAAAUCAUUCCUGUCCUACUGCCUAAGACUCAGAAAUUCGUCUAGGUAAAUAUAUCGGUCUUUAAACCUCGAACCAGGACAUCACUGAUGAAUUGUGGUGAUCCCAGACCGUGAGAUUUAUAUUUUUUGCAGAUUUGUUUAGACUCGGUUACAUAGCCAUUCUUGAUGUGUAUUUAAUAUAUGUUAUAUGUUUAUACAUGUAGCAGUCAAUAAUUUCAUUUGAAAGUCUUGCUAGCCCCUAUAAAUAGGAAUAAAUGAUUCCCCCUUUUGCACCGCAUGAGGUAUUGUGUAUAACACCACUUUUCAGCUGGAAAUUUAAUUGUGCAUAUGUCUCAUUGUUUCGGAUAAAUGCAGAAUUCACCCGCAUCACCACUGUUCCCCUCCUGUCCAGAUUCAUGUCCAAACUGGAUCAUUACUCGAACCAGUUGAUGAAGGUGUUUAGAAAAAAGGGUGGAGCAGCAAGACACAAAAUAAGCAUGAUCAUGGCAGCCAUGGACAAGCUCUGCUUCAGUCUCCAGCCAGUUGUUCCUACCUCAUCCCCAUUUGCCCCUGGAUUACCUCAGCCUGUUUUCCUCUCUGUAUUCAGUUCCCCAUCUAAAUCCUACUGUUGAAACAUGAAGAGAGUGUGUCCUCAAAGCACUUUGUGUGUACCUCAGUGAAAAUCCUGAAAAGUUCAUAAAGGACUAUGUGGUUGUUGAACCUGGUGCAAUGACAGCAAUGGAGGGAAAGGUCAUGGAAAUCUGUUAUCCGACACGAGGGAGCAGAGCCCACAGAGUCGCCUGAGGAUGUUGGCAUCAUAAUCGAGGGAGUUGAAGUGUUGUAAGAUCUGAGAGAUGUGGCAAGUGGGUACAGUCGUGUUUGGCGUCAUCUACAGUUUAAACCUCAGCUACCCCAAAGACCGGAGAUACAUGUUUGGAUUUUUUCAAAAAGUUUUAAUGGAUUUGGAUGGCAACAGACUUUCCAUAAAGGUGCAGAUCUUCAAGAACCGACUACAUGAGUAAUCCCAACUGCAGUACACAACUGACUGAGUCUCCGCUGGUCACGCUGCCCGGGCUCCCCUGUCACUCCUCUCCACCACCAAACUCUGAACCAGCGUUCACCCGUGGAGGAGGAGGUGUCUCAUCCCUGCCUGCCUCAGCCCGUCCCCGCUGCCCCAGCCUCUGGAUCUCCCAGCAUGCCACAACCACUCUCUGUCGCUCGCCCACCCCAGCGGGGAACUAACCUGGACCGCAGGUCUCCAGUAGCCUGUCUGCCCCACUUCCAGUCCGUAGUGAGUUCCUGAGUUUUUCCUGGCUUUAGUUUCACGUUUAUCUAGUCUUUAGUUUCAGUCACUCACUCCCCCUUAGGUCUUUUGGCAUACCUAAUUUGUAGCAAAAUAAAAUUAAUUUCUGCC